Molecule: ribosomal RNA, 463 nt
Filed under: uncultured bacterium
Lineage: Bacteria
Description: partial 16S ribosomal RNA
Rfam family: Bacterial small subunit ribosomal RNA
Source: RNAcentral
GAUGAACGCUGACAGAAUGCUUAACACAUGCAAGUCUUUGGCGAAUCUGUGCUUGCACAGGCUAGCCAAGGCGGACGGGUGAGUAACGCGUAAAGAACUUGCCCUGCAGACAGGGAUAACAGACGGAAACGACUGAUAACACCUGAUACAGUUGCCGGCACGCAUGUGCCUGGCAAUGAAAAGAGAUGCUGCAGGAGAGCUUUGCGUCCUCUUAGCUUGUUGGUGAGGUGACGGCUCACCAAGGCGAUGAUAGGUAGCCGGCCUGAGAGGGUGAACGGCCACAAGGGGACUGAGAGACGGCCCUUACACCUACGGGAGGCAGCAGGGGGGAAUAUUGGACAAUGGGGGCAACCCUGAUCCAGCAAUUCUGUGUGCACGAAGAAGGUUUUCGGAUGGUAAAGAGCUUUCAGCAGGGAAGAAGAAAGUGACGGUACCUGCAGAAGAAGCGACGGCUAAAUACGUG